This 345-nucleotide unclassified non-coding RNA is filed under the name soil metagenome. Its description in RNAcentral is "partial contains 5.8S ribosomal RNA, internal transcribed spacer 2, and large subunit ribosomal RNA". The stretch from base 1 to 120 matches the Rfam family "5.8S ribosomal RNA", at positions 35 to 154 of the family's 154-position model. The record is from RNAcentral.
GAUGAAGAACGCAGCGAAAUGCGAUAAGUAAUGUGAAUUGCAGAAUUCAGUGAAUCAUCGAGUCUUUGAACGCACAUUGCGCCCCCUGGUAUUCCGGGGGGCAUGCCUGUCCGAGCGUCAUUGCUGCCCUCAAGCACGGCUUGUGUGUUGGGCCUCCGUCCUCCUCCCGGGGGACGGGCCCGAAAGGCAGCGGCGGCACCGCGUCCGGUCCUCGAGCGUAUGGGGCUUCGUCACCCGCUCUUGUAGGCCCGGCCGGCGCUUGCCGACACAUCAAUCUUUUUUCCAGGUUGACCUCGGAUCAGGUAGUGAUACCCGCUGAACUUAAGCAUAUCAAUAAGCGGAGGA